Molecule: small nucleolar RNA, 134 nt
Organism: Tachyglossus aculeatus (Australian echidna)
Lineage: Eukaryota; Metazoa; Chordata; Mammalia; Monotremata; Tachyglossidae
Source: RefSeq, a predicted model, not a curated record
ACCCUUUCAGGAUUGCAGCUGGAGAGUUUCCAGUACUCUACCAGUCUCAGCCAAGGGAGAAUCAAGCAGAGGCAUACCCAUUCCAUUUCUAGUAUGGGCGGUGGCUAGCAAGUGGAAGGCAAUCUGUUACAAGA